CUGGUGUUCGGGUUGUCAUGCCAAUGGCACUGCCCGGUAGCUAAAUGCGGAAGAGAUAAGUGCUGAAAGCAUCUAAGCACGAAACUUGCCCCGAGAUGAGUUCUCCCUGAGACUUAGAGUCUCCUGAAGGAACGUUGAAGACGACGACGUUGAUAGGCCGGGUGUGUAAGCGCAGCGAUGCGUUGAGCUAACCGGUACUAAUGAACCGUGAGGCUUAACCUU
Molecule: ribosomal RNA, 222 nt
Filed under: Escherichia coli
Lineage: Bacteria; Pseudomonadati; Pseudomonadota; Gammaproteobacteria; Enterobacterales; Enterobacteriaceae
Also listed under: 3 other names
Description: partial 23S ribosomal RNA
Rfam family: Bacterial large subunit ribosomal RNA
Source: RNAcentral